ACGACCUCAACUCAAGCAAGACUACCCGCUGAACUUAAGCAUAUCAGUAAGCGGAGGAAAAGAAACUAACUAGGAUUUU
Molecule: ribosomal RNA, 79 nt
Filed under: Steinernema akhursti
Lineage: Eukaryota; Metazoa; Nematoda; Chromadorea; Rhabditida; Steinernematidae
Description: partial 28S ribosomal RNA
Rfam family: Eukaryotic large subunit ribosomal RNA
Source: RNAcentral